UACGUAGGGGGCAAGCGUUGUCCGGAAUCAUUGGGCGUAAAGAGCGUGUAGGCGGCCCGGUAAGUCCGCUGUAAAAGUCAAAGGCUCAACCUUUGAAUGUCAGUGGAUACUGCCGGGCUAGAGUCCGGAAGAGGCGAGUGGAACUCCUGGUGUAGCGGUGGAAUGCGCAGAUAUCAGGAAGAACACCAACGGGCGAAGGCAGCUCGCUAGGACGGUACUGACGCUGAGACGCGAAAGCGUGGGGAGCGAACAGG
This 254-nucleotide ribosomal RNA is filed under the name uncultured bacterium. RNAcentral's name for it is "partial 16S ribosomal RNA". It matches the Rfam family "Bacterial small subunit ribosomal RNA", at positions 524 to 776 of the family's 1533-position model. The record is from RNAcentral.